This 1024-nucleotide long non-coding RNA is filed under the name Carassius auratus (goldfish). Its description in RNAcentral is "lncRNA (ENSCARG00000066118.1)". Lineage: Eukaryota; Metazoa; Chordata; Actinopteri; Cypriniformes; Cyprinidae. The record is from RNAcentral.
GGCGGGGUUUAUUCACACUGUUGAGGGUGUUAGCCAGAGUUAAACAGUUAAAGUCUAUUUUUGCCAUCACUGUCAACACUGAAGACAUCAUGUUUGUCUUUACCUGGAUAAUAAUGCAACUUUGCAUGGGAACUUAUUUUGCUGAUACAAUUCAACCACUGUCUUCAGAAAAAUAUGUAGUUGAGGGUAAAAAUGUGACACUGUCCUGUAAAUACAGUACCAGUACUGGCAAUGUUAACUCUCUCCAGUGGUAUCGACAGUAUCUCAGAGCAAAACCAGAGUUCCUACUUUUUCUUGAUGAAUAUUCAACUAAAUCUGAGCCUGAUCUUCGUCUGUAUUCAAAAGCUACAAAAGAAAUCAAACGUGUGGAUCCUCUGCUGCUGUAUCAGACUCUGCUCUGUGUGAAUCCUGACACGUGUGAAGACGUACAUCUAUUUUUAUUUUUUAUUUUUCAUAAAUGUACCUCUUAUAUAAAUUGAUUAUGGAGAGAAUGUAGAAUGUUUUAUUAUUAUUAUUUUUAUUAUUAUUAUUUUCCCUACUUUAAAAAUUAAACUUCAUUUGUAAUGAUUUUUGGUAACCAUUAGAUGGCGAUAUGCACCAUAUAUUCAUAUUAUCAAGCCUCAUUACAGAAUUAGCUCCUCUUUUAAUAUUUAAUAAUUAACAGAUAUCUUAUUUACAGAUCUGUUGCUCUACCUUUUUCAUUGUCUAUACAAUAACAACAACAACAACAAAAUGAGUCUGGUUGAGGUUCUAUUAAUAUUCACAAUUGAUCUUGUUGAGAACCUCAGUAUUAUUUAAUGUGGAAAGAAGCUCUUUAAUGGAGCAGAACUGGGACCCCAGAGUCUCCUCGCUUUCAGUCGACAACAUCAGAAACAUCCACUCAACUCACUAUUACUGGUGUAACUCUGGCAGAUACAGCUCUUUAUUACUGCGCUCUAAGAGUUUGUGGUGCAAAUAAUUUUUUCCUCUUUGAAAAUGAAAAACAUCAAAACCACAAUCUUUUUAAACACAGACAUUAUUAAAU